GACGAACGCUGGCGGCGUGCCUAAUACAUGCAAGUUGAGCGAUGAAGAUUGGUGCUUGCACCAAUUUGAAGAGCAGCGAACGGGUGAGUAACGCGUGGGGAAUCUGCCUUUGAGCGGGGGACAACAUGUGGAAACGAAUGCUAAUACCGCAUAACAACUUUAAACAUAAGUUUUAAGUUUGAAAGAUGCAAUUGCAUCACUCAAAGAUGAUCCCGCGUUGUAUUAGCUAGUUGGUGAGGUAAAGGCUCACCAAGGCGAGGAUACAUAGCCGACCUGAGAGGGUGAUCGGCCACAUUGGGACUGAGACACGGCCCAAACUCCUACGGGAGGCAGCAGUAGGGAAUCUUCGGCAAUGGACGAAAGUCUGACCGAGCAACGCCGCGUGAGUGAAGAAGGUUGUCGGAUCGUAAAACUCUGUUGGUAGGGAAGAACGUUGGUGAGAGUGGAAAGCUCAUCAAGUGACGGUAACUACCCAGAAAGGGACGGCUAACUACGUG
RNAcentral lists this ribosomal RNA (497 nucleotides) under uncultured bacterium. RNAcentral's name for it is "partial 16S ribosomal RNA". It matches the Rfam family "Bacterial small subunit ribosomal RNA", at positions 28 to 507 of the family's 1533-position model. The record is from RNAcentral.